This 254-nucleotide ribosomal RNA is filed under the name uncultured bacterium. Its description in RNAcentral is "partial 16S ribosomal RNA". It matches the Rfam family "Bacterial small subunit ribosomal RNA", at positions 524 to 776 of the family's 1533-position model. The record is from RNAcentral.
UACGGAGGGUGCGAGCGUUGUCCGGAAUCACUGGGCGUAAAGGGCGCGUAGGCGGCGCGGGAAGUCCGUGGUGAAAGCCCGAGGCUCAACUUCGGGUCGGCCAUGGAUACUCCUGGGCUCGAGCACUGUAGAGGCAGGUGGAAUUCCGGGUGUAGCGGUGGAAUGCGUAGAUAUCAAGAGGAACACCUGAGGUGAAGACGGGUUGCUGGGCCGACACUGACGCUGAGUGCGCGAAAGCCAGGGGAGCAAACGGG